Non-coding RNA from Pelobates cultripes (western spadefoot toad), 270 nucleotides. NCBI's taxonomy places the organism in Eukaryota, Metazoa, Chordata, Amphibia, Anura, Pelobatidae. The record is from the annotation of a GenBank genome assembly.
CACCAGUCACACAAAUGUAUGGGUCCUUUUUAUAAGGUAUGUCUUUGUAUAUUGUUGAUUGUAAUGAUUGUGGAAAUACACAAGAGACAAUAUCACAGUAAUCAAAUGUAAAUGUGGCUACAUGUGUGUUUGAAGAAUUAUACCAAAAUGUGUAAACAAGAUUUUCUUUUGGUAAUUGCAACUCGUUAGGCCUCUAAUAGGCCUAGCAGCGGGAAAAAGGUACAGGAAGCUCAUAGCUCAACGAAAUUUGGAACUUGCAGUGAGAGGCGU